RNAcentral lists this ribosomal RNA (373 nucleotides) under uncultured eukaryote. Its description in RNAcentral is "partial 18S ribosomal RNA". It matches the Rfam family "Eukaryotic small subunit ribosomal RNA", at positions 592 to 975 of the family's 1831-position model. The record is from RNAcentral.
CAAUAGCGUAUAUUUAAGUUGUUGCAGUUAAAAAGCUCGUAGUUGGAUUUCUGCUGAUCGCUGUCGGUCUGCCGUCAGGUGUGUACUGGCAGUGUUUGGCAUCUAUUCGAGAUUGGGUGUCCACUUGAUUGUGUGCACUCGAUGUCGGAGCUAAUACUUUGAGAAAAUUAGAGUGUUCCACGCAGGCGCGUGCCUUGAAUACUGCAGUAUGGGAUAUUGGAAGGCCGAUUGAGCUUUCUUGUUGGUUCUCGGUUUGAUCGGAAUGAUUAAUAGGGAUAGUUGGGGGCAUUCGUAUUCAACUGUCAGAGGUGAAAUUCUUGGAUUUGUUGAAGACGGACUACUGCGAAAGCAUCUGCCAUGGAUGUUCUCAUUG